Diospyros lotus (date-plum) is the source of this 5201-nucleotide long non-coding RNA. RefSeq lists it as uncharacterized. NCBI's taxonomy places the organism in Eukaryota, Viridiplantae, Streptophyta, Magnoliopsida, Ericales, Ebenaceae. The transcript is spliced from 3 exons. The record is from RefSeq and is a predicted model, not a curated record.
UCUCUUGCUUCUUUGAUCUUUUUUUGUAUUGUUUUUAAGGCUGUUAAUUUCCUUUUUAUGUCAUAUAGUUAUGAUUGGAAUUUAUUUUCCUUCAUAUUUAAUUUUUGCAGUCUUUUAUGUUUGUGACUACUUUUAAUGGCCAGAUUAAUUGGCACUACCCAAAAUUUUGUCCCGAGUGCUCUGUAAAGAAUAUUCAGAUCGGAAUCGAGCUUUGAUCUAAUUUACAGGAGAUUUCCAAAUUUAUGAACUUUGAAAUACCAAUUAGAUACUAGUAACUAGAAGUGCGUCCAAUAAUUUUCUAGUGGGAUUUGUCAUAAAGCAUGUGAAAGACUCGCAUUCUAUUCAUAAAAAAAUUAUUCACCACUAUGUUACACAAGAAAAAAGGAUAGAAUUUGUUUUUUAAAUACUAGAGCAGCGUCUUCUCUCCUGAUAAUAAUUAUAGUGGUUCAUCAUUAUUAUAAUAUGAGAACAUUGUCAAAUUUGGUAUUGCAAGGUGAGCAUCAUGGUUACUAGCCCAACACAUGGAAGGGGAGCACCCUCAUGCAUGAUCGUUAAUAAGGAAAGCCAAAUAUUAGCCCUUGACAUCAUUUGAUUGGGUGGACAGGGAAGGGGACAUGCUUUUGGGACAGCAGAUCUGGGCUCAGUUCAUACACUGCCAGUUUUUGCCCUAACACAGUAGUGGGCCCCACUUUUACAUUGAGGCAGUUAUUAAAGGCAGUCUCACCUACCUCCAGAUAACCACCAAAAUAUGUCGAGAUGAUGAUAAAGCAACUAUGGUCUCACCCCAAGCAAAGUAGUGAAGGACAAUGCCUAUCUAUCUACCAAUGACUCCUUGCCAUACAGACUUAUAAUAUGACCACAUCACCUUAGGUAUAAAAAUAAAAGUACCCAAGGUAUAAGGCAUUACCUCUUUUGCACCUUUAUUUGCGCUUUUGUUUUAUUGCUAUCUUGUGUUCUCAUGUUCAUAUUCCCUUCUCAUUGUACUGUUCAUGCUCUCAUAUAUUAUGUGCUUAUAUUUUCCCUAUGGCACACCUCUAGGUAGUUGUCUGUAGUUGCAGGUCUUCCCAUUUUAACAUGUUUGAUUGUUCACGAGCCAUUGACUUUUUUCCUAUGUUGAGCCAAGUCAGGCUAUCAUUUAUUAUUCGUGAUUCUUUGCAUCAUGAGUUGAUAUCAUCUGUGAAAAUGAAAGAAAUUAGUUUCAAUGGUGAAAGCAGGGAGCCUUGUGCAAAUUCAAGAGAUAGUACCUUGUCAUGACCCAAGGAAUAAUUAGAAGGGCAAUAAGGUAAUUAGUUACCUUAGUUGGUUAGGAGCUAUUUCUGUUACAGCACAUGGGUGUUGUUAUUUUGUUAUUUUCCCUUUUUGUCUUGUAGUUUAGUUGGUUAGAGAGCUUUGUCUGAUAGCUAAAUGAGGCUAUUUAUAUAUAUAUUGCCUUAGCUGUAGGAAGGGGGUAUCCAAGAAGUUAAUGAAUUGAAAUAUGUUUUUCUCCUCUUCCAAAUUCUCUCCCAUUUAUUGAUCUUCAUCUCCCUCUUUUCUGUUCUUCUAAUCCCCCUAACACUUCUUCUAAUCUCUCCCUCAUUCUUCCAAUUUCCUCCUUAAUUUCCUUCUGUUCUUGGCUUUAGCUGAAUCGGAUUCUUCUGAUUUCCAAACUGAUCCUAGGUUAAGCCCUAGGAUCAUGACAUACCUCUAUUAAGGAAUUCCCACAACUAGGCAACCCUGAUGAUGUCAUACCCAAGCGGGAUAUGACUAGUUGGUUGGGGACAUUCGGUCAAGUCCCUAGAGAAGGAAACUCUUAAGAAAACUUGAGGAGAUGCUAUGUAUGAAGCAAACUAUUAUGGAGCAAAAAAUAACCAAGGUGGGCCAAAUUUACCAGAAUGGUGGAGGUGACUCAUCCUGUUAGGAGGUCCACGAGGAGCGCUCCCCUAGAGGAGGUUGCAGAGCUUGCUCCCAUGAAGCCAUGAGGAGCAGUCUCCUAGAGAAGGUUAUGAAGGCUGCUCCCCACGAAGUCGCAGUCCUCAUGGCUUCAUGGGAACUGGACUUUGCACCCUCCUCUUGGGAAGUGUUUUUUAUGUCCUUGUUAAUUGGUCUCUUAUGACCUCCUCUGGGAGAGCCCUCCCCACAGCCUUGUGGGGCUGGACUCUGCAACCUCCUAUGGAGACACUCCACAUAACUUCGUGAGGGAGGUGAUGUUGCUACCUCUUCUAGGAGCACUCCUUGUGGCCCUCUUAGAAAGAUGGAUUGCCUAUAUAGCUCUGGUAGUUUCUACUUGCCUUUGUUUUCUUGGUCCAUAAUAGUUUGCCUUGUACAAUGCAUCUCCUCAAGUUGUCUUAAGAGCCUCCAUCUCUAGGGACUUUUGCUAGAUGUCCCUAAUCAACUUCUUGUAUUCUGCUUAAGGUGUGACAUCAUUGUUGUUGUCUAUCUAGUCCAGCAGUGGGGGGUUCCUCAUAGAGGUAUUUUCCCUUGAUUUUUCACAGCUGCUUGUUUUCACUGUUGGACCUAAUUUUCUUUGUUCUCACAUACUCCCUCAAUUGAUGAUGCAGAGAAUCAGCAAUAAGAAAUGAUAGAUAACCUGGUUCAAGGGUAAAAAGAGUCAUUGCCUUGUGAAACAUGCUAUAGCUGUAAGGCCAACAAUCACAAUAGAAAGUUACCAUGGGGUGUGUUCGCAGAGACUUCCCAAUGCUCAAGUCAAAGUUGGUUGUAGGGAAAAUAGAAGUAGGUAGUAUACAGGGAAUAUGAACAGUAGACUGUGCAGAAAAUAUGAAUGUGAGAACAUAGAAUAACAAUAAAUGGUGAGAGCCCAAAUAAAGAAGCGAAAGAGAUAUUGCCUUGUAGGUGGGGUACUUGUCUUUCUAUACCUAAGGUGGUAUAGUCUGUCACUGCUAGGCGGUGACAAUAAUUGCUUUUCUGAUUCAGUAAGAAUCAGAUAAUAGCAACAGAGAAAUAACAAGAGAAAUUUAGAGAAGAAUAGGAAAAGAGAGAACAGAGGAGAGAAGAGAACUGAGAGAAAUUGAGAGAGAAUUCAGAUUGUUCUUCCAAAAAUUCGAUAAUUCCCCUCCAAGAGUGCCUUGGAGAGUAUAUACACUCUUAGCAAGGGGGCUGCUGCAGCAGAUCCACACCAUUCAGGCAGUUGUAACAACUGCUUUUGUCCUAUUCUGGCCCUUACCUGUGGGCCCUCCCUGGGCUAACUAUCUGAUCACAGAAUUACAGCUAGGAAAUGAAAUAACAAAAAUUACAGUAGCAAGAAAUAUCAGCAGUAAAAUGAAAUAAAAAAUAACAGCAAGAUGAAAAGAAGAAUUCAAAUUGGGUAUCUCAGUCACAGCUUGUGACAUAGUCGUAGUAGAAGCUUGUACUAUUGGGAGUCUUCAACAUAGAUGCCUCUAUCCUGGACGCAAUAGGCAUCAUCCUUCAUUACUAUGCUUGGGAUGAGACCUUAGUUACUUUAUUAUCAUCUCAAUAUAUUUUGGUGGUUAUCCAAGGGUAAAUGAUCACCUUAAUAGUUGCCUCAACAUAAAAGUGGGCUCACGUGUUGUUGUGUGAAACAAAAAUGUUGCUGACCUAUGUGUGCUUGUUGACUUUCCUAUAAGCAUGCAUGGAGUGUACUCCCCUUCCUCAUGUUGGGCUAUUGGUGACAUACAAUUUCUGGCCACAUUAGAUGCCCCCCUAAUUCCCUUGUCAAGCUUUUGGAUGUUGGAAGCACAAUUAACUUGCUUGCUCCAUGAAUGGUGGUACUCAUUUGAAUGUGGAAUGUCGUGGGAAUAUGCUGAAAUGUUCACAACAACCCAGAAAUAUCUCCCGUUCAUCUUUUUGAUUCUCAAAAAGGGCAUAUUGAUGCUUGUGGCACGCGCUAGCAACAUCUAGGGAGCUUCCUCACCAAAAAAGCUCAAAUGAAUAAUUUAUUGCGUGUGUUUUUAGAGAGAGAGAGAGAGAAGGAAGAAGUUUCCCUCCUCAGUUCCAAGUCAUGAUGUCUUCCUCUGGGAAGUUCUUUCUUCUUUUUAUGAUUUGCAUUAGCUUUUUUGUAUAUAGUUAUUGCCAUAGUGUUACUAUUUUUCCAUUUCUGUACAGUAUCUUCAGUUACUUUUGGUUUUUUGGUGUGUCUCUGUGAUUGGUGAUGGAGUUGUAUGCAGUGAUCAGUAAGGGUGCCAUGGUGUUUUCAGUUUUAUGACCAUCAGCGUCACUCUUCUUUUCAAUUCGUUAUUUUAAAUUGUGGAGCAGUGGUACCCUGGUACCACUUCCACAGCCUUGGUCCACGUCCAAGUAUCUCUAUUAAGUUUGUUCUUUUUGCAAAUUUUUGGACUGUUUGGCUUAAGCACAGAACUUUUGGGAAAUGAUUCCAGUGUGGCACUCACUUGGAACAGUUUUUUUCUUGACCAAUCCAAAGUGGUAAAAAAUCUAGCUGACAGACUAGUUCAGCUAGUUCAACUGAAUUUAUAAAAAUAGAUGUGUUGUAUUUUCUCUACAUAUAUAUUUAAAUGGUAUGUAAAAACACAAGCAAAGUUGUGGUGUAGUGGUACUGCUAGCCUUGGACCACUUCCACAGCCUUGGUCCAAGUCUCUCUAGCAUACUUUUGUUUCCAACUUUUGGAAAAUGUUUCGGUGAAUAUGGCACUCACUUGGCUUCAAUGAUCCAAAGUUGUCAACCUAACUAGCCGAAGGGCCAAUCCCCAAUUAAACUGGUUUAACUAGAGUCCAAUCCAGUUCUGAUUACUAUCUUAGCGACUUAUGAACUUCCCUUGUUCUUUAUAUUGGCCCUGUUUAUUGCUUUUACUUGAUGAACUAUUCAAUACUGCUUCUAUCAAAUAUAAGGUGUUAGCUUCAAUUCGUUAGCUUAAUCUUGCAAGAAUGCAAGUUGUUUUAGCUUGUGAAUUUUUGGAUGAUAUCUUGGAAAAUGUUUUGGACUUGGAAAUAACAUGGUUAAAUCUUUGUCAAGAAUUUGGAUGCUGAUGCUUAAAACUGUAGAUUAAAAAACCGUGUUCUCUGCCAACACACAAGGGUGGAACAGUCCAGUUUGUGACUGAAUCUGUUCUUUGGCCUUAAUAAGUUGAUAAUUGAUGUCCACCUUCUGAGUAAUUUGAUAAUUGAAAACGUCAGAUCUUUCAACGUGCGUUGUAGAUACAGGUCACACAAGCAAUAUAUCCACUUCGUGGGAUUAAGGCUUGGUGGUGUUAUUGUUGUCGUCCAUCUUCCGAGUACAUGACUGAUAUUGUU